Molecule: ribosomal RNA, 449 nt
Filed under: uncultured bacterium
Lineage: Bacteria
Description: partial 16S ribosomal RNA
Rfam family: Bacterial small subunit ribosomal RNA
Source: RNAcentral
AACGAACGCUGGCGGCAGGCCUAACACAUGCAAGUCGAGCGAGACCUUCGGGUCUAGCGGCAGACGGGUGAGUAACGCGUGGGAAUCUACACAUCCCUACGGAAUAGCUCCGGGAAACUGGAAUUAAUACCGUAUACGCCCUACGGGGGCAAGAUUUAUCGGGGAUAGAUGAGCCGGCGGUGGAUUAGCUAGUUGGUGGGGUAAAGGCCUACCAAGGCGACGAUCCAUAGCUGGUCUGAGAGGAUGAUCAGCCACAUUGGGACUGAGACACGGCCCAAACUCCUACGGGAGGCAGCAGUGGGGAAUAUUGGACAAUGGGGGCAACCCUGAUCCAGCCAUGCCGCGUGAGUGAUGAAGGCCUUAGGGUUGUAAAGCUCUUUCACCGGGGAAGAUAAUGACGGUACCCGGAGAAGAAGCCCCGGCUAACUUCGUGCCAGCAGCCGCAGUAA